AUGGACCAAUCCAUCCCUUUUUCCCGUGCAUAUGCAUCGGACUCAGAUGACGAUGGUCCCGAUGAAGAAGUUGAUGAGGAGGGGUUCACGCCGAAGGAGGCCCAAGAAUUCAAGAAGGUAUUCGGGAAGGACCACAAGACACCAUUGUUCAAGGAUCUUAGUCUCGCGGAUGAAGCCGUUGUGGAUGGUGGCAAAUGCAUAUCUCUUGGAGCUAGGCCAAGUUCUCAC
Molecule: ribosomal RNA, 228 nt
Filed under: Triticum aestivum (bread wheat)
Lineage: Eukaryota; Viridiplantae; Streptophyta; Magnoliopsida; Poales; Poaceae
Description: partial small subunit ribosomal RNA
Source: RNAcentral